UUUGUCUUUUUUUUUUUUUACUACAGUUGAACCUUGUCAUAUUAAGGAUGACUCAUUAGCUAUCACAAGUCUUCUUCUUCUUUCUCAUUGUCAUAAGAGUUGAGUCUAUGACUCUUGGAACUCUAGGCCCAUGGAAGUGUACCUCUAUCUUCUGACUGGGAAAGAUCCAAGGAGAUGUAAAUUAUUACAUCCCUACUACUGAUGGCUCAUAUCCCAAGGCGCUUGGAUUAGAAGUGAGGCCAGUGCCUGAGCACAUCAGGGAAACUCCCCCAUAUUUCUUUUCUGCACCACAUCCUCUGUGCAAGUGGCUGCCAUAAAAACUGUCCCUCGAGGAAGGGUGUUUGUUGGGACUUUCUUCCUUCCCCAUCAGUGCAAUGGACUUGGUCCUUAGGCACCCCAAAAGUGGUUCUUUUUUUUGCUUCUCUAUUGGCCUAAUUGUCUCCUAACAAUUGUUUCCAUCCGAGCACCACAUUGAGGCUGAGAAGCAAUGCCCAAACUAUUGCAGGUCAAAUUUAGCUUUCAAAUUGAAGAUUCCUGAUAUUAUCUAUUUGAAAUGGUGCAGCCAUUGAGCUUCAGAUAAUUUCAUAUAUCAGAUGUUUGAUAAAAGUGAUGACAAUGUACCCUACCUCCUAUAACUCAGUUAAGAUUGAUGCAUGCAUUUAAAAACAAACAAAAAAGAAACUU
Molecule: non-coding RNA, 684 nt
Organism: Biomphalaria pfeifferi
Lineage: Eukaryota; Metazoa; Mollusca; Gastropoda; Planorbidae
Source: the annotation of a GenBank genome assembly